This 319-nucleotide unclassified non-coding RNA is filed under the name uncultured fungus. Its description in RNAcentral is "sequence contains ITS1". Lineage: Eukaryota; Fungi. The record is from RNAcentral.
GUAUAUGAUUAUUAUAGGCACAUAAGCCCAUUGAUCACAUUCUACAACAUACUAUGUGGUAUAUGAAUACAUAGUACUUGAAGGAGAGGUAUUGCAAGUCGUUUUGAGAAGAGCUGUAUGCUUUUGCACUCAGCAAUUCCUCACAUCCGGAAAGGCCAUAACAGCUAUCCGAUAGUCGACCGCUCUCAACCUCCAAGACUACAAAAAGUGCACAGGUGGAUGAAUAAAGUCAAGACAGGCGUGCACAUGCCCCGAAGAGCCAGCUACAACCCAUCAAGAAUAUUCAAUAAUGAUCCUUCCGCAGGUUCACCUACGGAAA